This is an RNA transcript of Phragmites australis (common reed), 1314 nucleotides long. It is a transcript of the gene named NEP1-interacting protein-like 2, with no coding region annotated. The transcript has 6 exons. The record is from RefSeq and is a predicted model, not a curated record. NCBI's taxonomy places the organism in Eukaryota, Viridiplantae, Streptophyta, Magnoliopsida, Poales, Poaceae.
UGCUCACUUCACUCCCCCUGAAGUCAGACGAUCCCAGCGCACAGCGCACCAGCAAUCAGGAGCCGAGCCGCAAGCCCGCAGCUUGUUUUCAGGCUGCGUCACGCCUCCUCCCUCGCUCCCUCUCUGCCCAUCGAGCCCUCCUCCUCCUACCAACCAUCGCGGCGCGCGGCGCAACCCCGACCCCGAUAGACAAAGCGCGCGCCAUCGCGUUCACGGCACCUUAUACCUACCGUCCUUAGGAAGCGGACCGAAAGCACCGUGACGCUCGAUCGACUAGCUGCUGCGGCGUGGAGCGUCCCCCCCCCCCCCCACCGGCGGGUGUCGUGACGCUGCGCGAGCGAUGGAGGUGACGCUGCCGCCAGCGGUGGCGGCAGAAGAGGAGCGCCGCGCGGCGACGGGGACGUGCCUCCCCAGGCUGGUCUACGGCGUGCUCUCCGGAGCCCUCACCGGUCUCUUCGCCAUCGCUGGAGGCUUGACGGGGGCGUUCACCGGCGCAUUGGCGGGGAGGGCUUCGGACUGCGGCGUUCUCCGGGGAGCCAGAUUGGGGGCGUUUGCAGGGGCGGUGCUCUCCAUCGAGGUUCUGGAGGCUUCUCGCGCGUACUGGUGUGCGGACCGAUCCAAUCCGCAGAGCACAUCCUCAAUGGGGGAUUUCAUAGAACAACUCCUUCAUGCUCGAUUUAUGCAAGAGCAGUAUGAACCAUCGGUAUAUAUGGCAUAUCAAUGGCAGGUUGGUAUUGCAGAGUUUAACAAUGAUGAUCUGUACGAUGUCCUUGAAGAAGUUUUAUCCGAAGGGCUCUCACAAGAUACCCUAAAGAAGUUACCGUAUCAUGUGGUGACUGAUCAGAAGCAGGAAUUGAUUGGUGAAGACUUAACUUGCGCUAUUUGCCUGCAGGUGGGUAGUCAAUCAGUCAUGGGGGUAAUAUAAAUUGACACUCGUUACUUGUUAGAUGACUUGAAAUCAAGAUGAUGGAAGUUGUACUGGGAGUGUCCAACCUCUCUGUUUGAUUUAAGACCACUCAGGAUACUGUUACUGGAGAGACAGUGAGGAAGUUGCCGAAGUGUUCUCACACUUUCCAUCAGCCUUGCGUGGACAGAUGGUUCAUUGACCAUGCUUCAUGCCCUGUAUGUAGGCAAGAAGUGUAGCUUUUGUAAAGUGCCUACUCUCAUCAUAUAGAAAGAUACGCAGAGAUGUAAAUUAAUCCUUACACUUCUUUAUAUCAUGAAGAUAGUUAUAUACAUCAUAUAUAUCGAGGAUCAUGUAUUUUCAAUCACUCAUUUGAGAAUCAAAAUCGGUAUAAGUUUGUUCUGCGGUCC